UUGUUAGUUGCUACCAUUUAGUUGAGCACUCUAGCGAGACUGCCCGGGUUAACCGGGAGGAAGGUGGGGAUGACGUCAAAUCAUCAUGCCCCUUAUGUCUAGGGCUACACACGUGCUACAAUGGCAAGUACAAAGAGAUGCGAUACCGCGAGGUGGAGCUAAACUAUAAAACUUGUCUCAGUUCGGAUUGUAGGCUGAAACUCGCCUACAUGAAGCUGGAGUUGCUAGUAAUCGCGAAUCAGAAUGUCGCGGUGAAUACGUUCCCGGGCCUUGUACACACCGCCCGUCACACCAUGAGAGUUGGCAAUACCCAAAGUUCGUGAGCUAACCCGUAAGGGAGGCAGCGACCUAAGGUAGGGUCAGCGAUUGGGGUGAAGUCGUAACAAGGUAGCCGUAGGAGAACCUGCGGCUGGAUCACCUCCUUUCUAUGGAGA
RNAcentral lists this ribosomal RNA (434 nucleotides) under Escherichia coli. RNAcentral describes it as "bacterial SSU rRNA". It matches the Rfam family "Bacterial small subunit ribosomal RNA", at positions 1108 to 1533 of the family's 1533-position model. The record is from RNAcentral. Lineage: Bacteria; Pseudomonadati; Pseudomonadota; Gammaproteobacteria; Enterobacterales; Enterobacteriaceae.